This 126-nucleotide small RNA is filed under the name Cervus elaphus hippelaphus. Lineage: Eukaryota; Metazoa; Chordata; Mammalia; Artiodactyla; Cervidae. The record is from RNAcentral.
GUGGGAGAGCCUGCUUGAGCCCCAGGAGCUGUGGCACAUGAGUCCCAUGCUAACCAGGAGUUUCUGCUCAUUUCAGUAUCAAUAUCCUGACCCAGAAACAGAGGAAAGCCCCUAAGGAGGGGAGAA